GAUGAACGCUGGCGGCGUGCCUAAUACAUGCAAGUCGAGCGAACGGACGAGAAGCUUGCUUCUCUGAUGUUAGCGGCGGACGGGUGAGUAACACGUGGAUAACCUACCUAUAAGACUGGGAUAACUUCGGGAAACCGGAGCUAAUACCGGAUGAUAUUUUGAACCGCAUGGUUCAAAAGUGAAAGAUGGUCUUGCUGUCACUUAUAGAUGGAUCCGCGCUGCAUUAGCUAGUUGGUAAGGUAACGGCUUACCAAGGCAACGAUGCAUAGCCGACCUGAGAGGGUGAUCGGCCACACUGGAACUGAGACACGGUCCAGACUCCUACGGGAGGCAGCAGUAGGGAAUCUUCCGCAAAGGGCGAAAGCCUGACGGAGCAACGCCGCGUGAGUGAUGAAGGUCUUCGGAUCGUAAAACUCUGUUAUUAGGGAAGAACAUAUGUGUAAGUAACUGUGCACAUCUUGACGGUACCUAAUCAGAAAGCCACGGCUAACUACGUG
RNAcentral lists this ribosomal RNA (497 nucleotides) under uncultured bacterium. RNAcentral's name for it is "partial 16S ribosomal RNA". It matches the Rfam family "Bacterial small subunit ribosomal RNA", at positions 28 to 507 of the family's 1533-position model. The record is from RNAcentral.